GAUGAACGCCGGCGGUGUGCCUAAUACAUGCAAGUCGAACGCGUUGGCCCAACUGAUUGAACGUGCUUGCACGGACUUGACGUUGGUUUACCAGCGAGUGGCGGACGGGUGAGUAACACGUAGGUAACCUGCCCCAAAGCGGGGGAUAACAUUUGGAAACAGAUGCUAAUACCGCAUAACAAUUUGAAUCGCAUGAUUCAAAUUUAAAAGAUGGCUUCGGCUAUCACUUUGGGAUGGACCUGCGGCGCAUUAGCUUGUUGGUAGGGUAACGGCCUACCAAGGCUGUGAUGCGUAGCCGAGUUGAGAGACUGAUCGGCCACAAUGGAACUGAGACACGGUCCAUACUCCUACGGGAGGCAGCAGUAGGGAAAUCUUCCACAAUGGGCGCAAGCCUGAUGGAGCAACACCGCGUGAGUGAAGAAGGGUUUCGGCUCGUAAAGCUCUGUUGUUAGAGAAGAACGUGCGUGAAGAGCAACUGUUCACGCAGUGACGGUA
RNAcentral lists this ribosomal RNA (495 nucleotides) under uncultured bacterium. Its description in RNAcentral is "bacterial SSU rRNA". It matches the Rfam family "Bacterial small subunit ribosomal RNA", at positions 28 to 477 of the family's 1533-position model. The record is from RNAcentral.